AGGGAUCAUUACAGAGAACAUCGCCCUCACGGGGGUGACUCUCCAACCCUAUGUUAAUACAACCUUUGUUGCUUUGGCGAGCCGCCUCGGCCACCGGCUUUCGCUGGUGAGUGCUCGCCAGAGGACCCCAAACUCUGUUUAUUAGUGUCGUCUGAGUACUAUAUAAUAGUUAAAACUUUCAACAACGGAUCUCUUGGUUCUG
This 202-nucleotide unclassified non-coding RNA is filed under the name uncultured fungus. Its description in RNAcentral is "partial contains 18S rRNA, ITS1, 5.8S rRNA, ITS2 and 28S rRNA". Lineage: Eukaryota; Fungi. The record is from RNAcentral.